Molecule: non-coding RNA, 32 nt
Filed under: Mus musculus (house mouse)
Lineage: Eukaryota; Metazoa; Chordata; Mammalia; Rodentia; Muridae
Source: RNAcentral
UUGGAAUGUUUCUUAAGAGCUUUGCUUCUCCC